GGUACGUGAGCUGGGUUCAGAACGUCGUGAGACAGUUCGGUCCCUAUCCGUCGCAGGCGCAGGAAACUUGAGAGGAUCUGUCCCUAGUACGAGAGGACCGGGAUGGACGGAUCACUGGCGUACCGGUUAUUCCGCCAGGAGUAGCGCCGGGUACCCAUAUCCGGGAAGGAUAAGCGCUGAAAGCAUCUAAGCGCGAAACCUGCCUCAAGAUAAGGUUUCCCACUGGAAAACCAGGUAAGACCCCAUGUAGACUACGUGGUAGAUAGGCCGGGGGUGUAAGUCCCGUGAGGGAUUCAGCUGACCGGUACUAAUAGGUCGAGGGCUUGACCUG
RNAcentral lists this non-coding RNA (331 nucleotides) under Peptococcaceae bacterium BRH_c4b. Its description in RNAcentral is "bacterial LSU rRNA". It matches the Rfam family "Bacterial large subunit ribosomal RNA", at positions 2595 to 2925 of the family's 2925-position model. The record is from RNAcentral. Lineage: Bacteria; Bacillati; Bacillota; Clostridia; Eubacteriales; Peptococcaceae.